GGAUAUUCAUCUUCCUGCGGGGUCGUUACUGGCAUGUCGUUGAUUACUGGAAAAGUACUAGACGUUGAAGUCAUGUCAAAAGAAUGCUGGGAGUGUAUUACCUGGAGCAGCAAGAAAGGUUCAGAGGAACUUGAACAUUGGUGGGAAGAUUAUCAACAUUGCUCAAACCGGGGUGUCAGACAAAGAAGUGUCGCAUGAAAAUAGACUAUGACCGUAUCUCCCAUUCCACACUAACGAGCUCCGACAAGCAUAAAAAUAAAAGAAAAAAGAUAAGACAGAGAAAAAAGGCUAUAUUGACAACCUGUCAGAAGAGGAAGUUACCCAAUAUGAAGCUGGGGCAUUCUGAGCCCUAAACCUGAACUGAUUAGUUAUACCAAACUUUGCGACUGAUUUUCUCAAUUUGUCAUUUUCGGGGUGUUUUUGAAUUAGUUUUUGCGAUUUCUGAAAAACUAUAAAUGGUAUUGACCUGAAAUUUUCACUGAGUAUUCAUGUGCCUAUUAGUUAUGCAAGGAACUAGGAUUUUUGAAUUUGGACUAACCAAACAUAAGUUCUAGACAUUUUGGUCAAUGAACUUAGGAUGUUUUGCUUUACCAUUAUUCGGGAUGCAAAAUUUUUAUGAAUCCAUGGCCAUAUCUAGUUGAUUCUAGUUCCUUGCAUAGCCCAAGAUGUGGUUAUAAUAUCUUAAAAGUUUUAAAACCAUACCUAUUAUAUAUUUGCCAAUAUCAAGUUUCUUGCGAUGCCUUAAUUUGCAAUGACGGAAAAGUAGGCUGUAGUAGUAAGGGUGCUACACUAGUGCAAUUCAAUAAAUAUGCACCAAAUUUUUUUUGGUUAAUGUCCUAAGUGUGUUACUUCUGCCCCCCCAAAAUAAUAUCAUUCCAUAUAUUCUGUAGCAAUGAAACAAGCUAUCAAAAAUGGUCGAUUUUUCCUAUCGAGCCACCUUAAG
Paramuricea clavata is the source of this 943-nucleotide non-coding RNA. The record is from the annotation of a GenBank genome assembly. NCBI's taxonomy places the organism in Eukaryota, Metazoa, Cnidaria, Anthozoa, Malacalcyonacea, Plexauridae.